GGGGUGCUCGAGUGGCGAACGGGUGAGUAACACGUGAGUAACCUGCCCUUGACUUUGGGAUAACUUCAGGAAACUGGGGCUAAUACCGGAUAGGAGCUCCUGCUGCACGGUGGGGGUUGGAAAGUUUCGGCGGUUGGGGAUGGACUCGCGGCUUAUCAGCUUGUUGGUGGGGUAGUGGCUUACCAAGGCUUUGACGGGUAGCCGGCCUGAGAGGGUGACCGGCCACAUUGGGACUGAGAUACGGCCCAG
RNAcentral lists this ribosomal RNA (249 nucleotides) under uncultured Actinomycetales bacterium. Its description in RNAcentral is "partial 16S ribosomal RNA". It matches the Rfam family "Bacterial small subunit ribosomal RNA", at positions 84 to 334 of the family's 1533-position model. The record is from RNAcentral. Lineage: Bacteria; Bacillati; Actinomycetota; Actinomycetes; Actinomycetales.